GAUUGUCCAUAGAGAGCACCAUGUUCAAGCGUAAGGGUGUCCACACGUGCACUUGGCACCAGGACACCCCAGGUCGCAGUUGGAUGAUCGACUUUGUGGUCGUGUCAUCGGACUUGCGGCCGCAUGCCUUAGACGCUUGGGUGAAGAGAGGGGCGGAGCUGUCACCUGAUCACCACUUGGUGGUGAGUUGGCUGCGAUGGUCGGGGAAGAUGCCGGUCCAACAUGGCAGGCCCAAACAUAUUGUCUGCUGGGAACGUCUGGCUGAAUCCCCUGUCAGCUGAGUUUCAACUCCCACCUCUGACAGAACUUUGCUCACGUUCCGGGGGAUGCGGGGGACAUAGAGUCCGAGUGGACCAUGUUUCGCACCUCUAUUGGUGAGGCGGCCGACCAGAGCCGUGGCUGUAAGGUGGUCGAUGCCUAUCGUGGCGGCAAUCCACAAACCCGUUGGUGGACACCAACUGUGAGGGAUGCUGUCAAACUGAAGAAGGAGUCCUAUUGGGCUUUUUUGCCUGUGGGACUCCUGAGGCAGCUGAUGGGUACCGGCUGUCCAAGCGGAAUGCAGCUUCCGUGGUCGCUGAAGCAAAAACUCGGGCAUGGGAGGAGUUCGGUGAGGCCAUGGAAAAAGACUUCUGGACGCUUGGAGGAAAUUCUGGUCCACCAUCCGGCGUCUCAGGAGGGGGAAGCAGUGCACCAUCAACACUGUAUAGUGGGGAUGAGGCGAUGCUGACCUCGACUCCGAAUGUUGUGAGUCAGUGGGGAGAAUACUUCGAAGAGCUCCUCAAUGCCACCGGCACGCCUUCCCAUGAGGAAGCAGUGUCUGGUUUCUGUGAGGCGGGCUCUCCUAUCUCUGGGGUUAAGGUCACCGCGGUGGUUAAAAAGCUCCUCGGUGUCAAGCCCCCGGGGGUGGAUGAGAUUUGCCCGGAGUUCCUCAAGGCUCUGGAUGUUGUGGGGCUGUCCUGGUUGACACACCUCUGCAACAUCGCAUGGACAUUGGGGACAGUGCCUCUGGAUUGGCAGACUGGGGUGGUGGUCCCCCUUUUUAAGGGAUACGGGAUUUUCGUUCCCUGUACGACCUGUGUCGUAGAAUGGAACGAGAAAUCGACAGGUGGAUCGGUGCAGCGUCUGCACUGAUGCAGACUUUGUAUCGGACUGUUGUGGUGAAGAAGGAGCUAAGCCGAAAGGCGAAGUUCUUGAUUUACCGGUUGAUCUACGUUCCCACACUCACCUAUGGUCACGAGCUGUGGGUCGUGACCGAAAGAACAAGAUCCCGGAUACGAGCGGCCGAAAUGAGUUUCCUCCGCAGAGUGUCCGGGCUCUCCCUUAGAGAUAGGGCGAGAAGCUCGGUCAUCCGGGAGGAUCUCAGAGUAGAGCCGCUGCUCCUCCACAUCGAGAGGAGCCAGAUGAGGUGGCCGGGGCAUCUGAUUCGGAUGACUCCCGGACGCCUCCCCGGUGAAGUGUUCCGGGGACGACCCGGGACACACCGGAGAGACUACGUCCUUCGGGUGGCCUGGGAACGCCUCAGGAUCCCCCCGGAUGAGCUGGAUGAAGUGGCUGGGGAGAGGGAAGUCCGGGCGUCCCUGCUAAAGCUACUGCCCCCGUGACCCGACCUCGGAUAAGCGGUAGAAAAUAGAUGGAUGAUGGAUGGAUGCUCCAUUGUCUUCAGGAUCCUGUGGAAUGUAAACAUGCAUACGCAUUGUUGUCAUCUUUCAGUAAAAUUUUGGAGAAAUGUAUUUUAUUGUGUUGAAUUUGAACUUGAACGUCUCACGCAGGCUAAAGAUUUGCUCGUAAUGAAUGGUCUCUUUUUUGAUUAGUUUUUUGUUGGCUCGUGUCAUUUAUAAUUUGUUGGUUGUUUUGCUUAUCGUAAUGACUUUGAUGGACUUAAGCGUAACGCAGGCUAGUGAUUUGCCGGAAUUCCAGGAAAAUGUUUCUUGUUGAUCACAUUUUCUUUUGUAUUUUUCACGAGAAUGUAAAAAUAACCCCCCUGUAGUUGCCGUUUAACGGAGCAAGAACCAGACAUUGCUAGCAGUUAAAAAAAAAAAAAUCGUCGUUUGCCAAGAUGGCGUUGAUGCACUUUUUCUUCUUUUUUUUUUUUUUUCUGCAGAUGCUGCAGGUUGUCUGUCACUACCCCUGCCCUCCCCCGAGACGAACACAUUAGCCCCUUGCUGACUAAUGGACGGCGUUCCCACUGCGAUGUUUAAACAUAAUCGUUACUUACUUUGUUUGGUGCUAUUUAUAAGUUUAACUAAACAAACAACUGCGGUUGUUGUUUCGGGGCAUUACAGUGACAACAACCAAUUGAGUUAUUUAUCGAUCUUUCUUUGUCGCGAUUCGACUUUGACCCUUUUAAAAUCUGGAAUGUUCUGUUCCCACUGUUUAAGAGCCUUCCGCUGUCUUCUUCAGAAUCUUGUUGGUUUGCAUCAGUUCCACUUCCUGUCCGUGUGGGGCUUUGGGAAUCCAAGUUAUUUUGGGAGGGGCGGGGUUUAUGGUGUCAUCUCGCAGAUGCCGCCAGCUGAUUGGUUUGUGAACAAAAUCAACGUCCAUAAAGAGAAAGACGAUGGAAUGAAAAGCAAACUUCGUUUUUUUUGUCAUCACUCCUUUUCGUCUCUUCCAAGAGCCAACAUGUCAGAGAAGAAAAUGUCUUCCAGUCGUAAACAUCACCUCAAGAGUGUGAUCUUGGCCAUCGCUAAAGGUCACCUUGAGCAGGAGUCCCAGGAGCGUGAGGAGGAGCGGAUGCGCUACAUGGCCCAGUGCUGCCCCCCGCUGGUGAUUCCCUACACCAUGCUAGAGCUACAGGAGCUGUGCCGAUCGAUCCACCACAAGGUCGACGUGGUGGACGAGGAGCGCUACGACCUUGAGGUGAAGGUCAACAAGGCCAACAAGGAGAUCGAAGACCUGAAGAUCAAAGUCCAGGACGUGACGGGCAAGUUCAAGAAGCCGACGCUGAAGAAGGUGCGCAUGUCGGCCGACGCCAUGCUCAAAGCGCUGCUGGGCUCCAAGCACACCGUCAACGUGGAGCUCCGGGCUAACCUCAAGCAGGUCAAGAAGGAGGUCAAGGACGAGUCACAUCUUGCUCCUCCUCAUGUUCAUCUUCAUCGCCGUGGUCUUCUCCUGGCUGAGACGGCGUCCAUCAUCCUCUUCACCGUCCUGUCAGGAAGAAGAAAACAAUCUUAAAGAUAAGGCCUUUGUCAAGAAGCCAUCAUGGCCACCGAGAAGCGACUGUCUGCCAGACGCAAGCACACUCUGAAGAGUUGCAUGCUGGUGGUGGCCAACAACCUCCUGGAGGCCGAAGCUGCCGAGAAGGCCGGAGAGCGA
RNA transcript from Phyllopteryx taeniolatus (common seadragon), 3312 nucleotides. It is a transcript of the gene named troponin I, fast skeletal muscle-like, with no coding region annotated. The record is from RefSeq and is a predicted model, not a curated record. Lineage: Eukaryota; Metazoa; Chordata; Actinopteri; Syngnathiformes; Syngnathidae. The transcript is spliced from 10 exons.